AGAGUUCGAUUAUGGCUCAGGAUGAACGCUGGCGGCGUGCUUAACACAUGCAAGUCGAACGAAGCGAUGGAGAACGGACUUUUCGGAGGAAGGUUUCCAUGGACUGAGUGGCGGACGGGUGAGUAACGCGUGGGGAACCUACCCUGUACAGGGGGAUAACAGUUAGAAAUGACUGCUAAUACCGCAUAAGCGCACAGCUUCGCAUGGAGCAGUGUGAAAAACUGAGGUGGUACAGGAUGGACCCGCGUUGGAUUAGCUGGUUGGCGGGGUAACGGCCCACCAAGGCGACGAUCCAUAGCCGGCCUGAGAGGGUGAACGGCCACAUUGGGACUGAGACACGGCCCAA
This 346-nucleotide ribosomal RNA is filed under the name uncultured bacterium. Its description in RNAcentral is "bacterial SSU rRNA". It matches the Rfam family "Bacterial small subunit ribosomal RNA", at positions 8 to 334 of the family's 1533-position model. The record is from RNAcentral.